GCAAUGAACCAUGAAAAUGAGGUCACAGUCAAAUAAAACCUGCGCGACUGACAUAAAGAUCAUAAAAUAUUUCCAUACACCAAAUAUAGUUGACCUAUGGGAUAUAGUAUUAGAUAAAAAGACCAAAACUCAAAAACUUAACUUUGACCACUGAACCAUGAAAAUGAGGUCAAGGUCACAUGACAUCUGCCCGCUAGACAUGUACACCUUACAAUCAUUCCAUACAACAAAUAUAGUAGACCUAUUGCAUAUAGUAUGAGAAAAACAGACCAAAACACAAAAAUUUAACUAUAACCACUGAACCAUGAAAAUGAGGUCAAGGUCAGAUGACACCUGCCAGUUGGACAUGUACACCUUAUAGUCCUUCCAUACACCGAAUAUACUAGCCCUAUUGCUUAUAGUAUCUGAGAUAUGGACUUGACCACCAAAACUUAACCUUGUUCACUGAUCCAUGAAAUGAGGUCGAGGUCAAGUGAAAACUGUCUGACAGACAUGAGGACCUUGCAAGGUACGCAC
This 516-nucleotide long non-coding RNA is filed under the name Mytilus galloprovincialis (Mediterranean mussel). Lineage: Eukaryota; Metazoa; Mollusca; Bivalvia; Mytilida; Mytilidae. The record is from RNAcentral.